CCAAGUCAUACAUUACCAACUCCAACCCAUGUUAUUCCUUGGUCAUUCCAAAAUCGCCAAACAACCAUUCCUUCUACCAAGCUUACCAGACAAACUCAGACACAUCCCAGACAUCCCCCAAUCUCCUCACAACAGUGUAGGACACCCAGAUUAUUAUCCACCAAAAUAGACAUCAAAACAAACAUAACAACCAUGCCCUACACAAUAUCAAACUAAUCUUAAAAUAAGAAGGAAAUCACCAAGGCCCAGAGAUCAUACAAACAACUCCAUCAUCCUAAUGCAGGCUCCAAGGUACGAACGUUCGGGCCAGACACUUCAUCGAUCGUCUCCUUCAUCAUCUCCGCAAAGCGACCAACCAUUUCGUGAAACUGCUUCAACCCAGACAAUGGAAGGAUGAUGGACGAUCGAUCCAUUCCAGCAACCUCAGAUAUUCUUAAGAAAUGGCCUCUGUUAUUGUUUCCCAGGUCAAAGUAAAACCUCUUCUGAUCUACUCUUAUAUAAUUU
Molecule: unclassified non-coding RNA, 504 nt
Filed under: Hevea brasiliensis (rubber tree)
Lineage: Eukaryota; Viridiplantae; Streptophyta; Magnoliopsida; Malpighiales; Euphorbiaceae
Source: RNAcentral